This 476-nucleotide ribosomal RNA is filed under the name uncultured bacterium. Its description in RNAcentral is "bacterial SSU rRNA". It matches the Rfam family "Bacterial small subunit ribosomal RNA", at positions 791 to 1268 of the family's 1533-position model. The record is from RNAcentral.
UAGUCCACGCCGUAAACGAUCAUCACUCGCUGUUGGCGAUAUACUGUCAGCGGCCAAGCGAAAGUAUUAAGUGAUGCACCUGGGGAGUACGCCGGCAACGGUGAAACUCAAAGGAAUUGACGGGGGCCCGCACAAGCGGUGGAGCAUGUGGUUUAAUUCGAUGAUACGCGAGGAACCUUACCAGGGCUUAAAUGUAGUGGGACAGGUCUAGAGAUAGACCCUUCUUCGGACUCAUUACAAGGUGCUGCAUGGUUGUCGUCAGCUCGUGCCGUGAGGUGUCAGGUUAAGUCCUAUAACGAGCGCAACCCCUAUCGUUAGUUGCCAGCGGGUCAUGCCGGGAACUCUAGCGAAACUGCCGGUGCAAACCGAGAGGAAGGUGGGGAUGACGUCAAAUCAUCACGGGCCCUUACGUCCUGGGGCCACACACGUGCUAUAAUGGCCGGGUACAGAGAGCAGCCACUACGCGAGUAGGGAGC